RNAcentral lists this ribosomal RNA (588 nucleotides) under uncultured bacterium. RNAcentral's name for it is "bacterial SSU rRNA". It matches the Rfam family "Bacterial small subunit ribosomal RNA", at positions 338 to 916 of the family's 1533-position model. The record is from RNAcentral.
CCUACGGGAGGCAGCAGUGGGGAAUUUUGGACAAUGGGCGCAAGCCUGAUCCAGCCAUGCCGCGUGCAGGAUGAAGGCCUUCGGGUUGUAAACUGCUUUUGUACGGAACGAAAAGACUCUGGUUAAUACCUGGGGUUCAUGACGGUACCGUAAGAAUAAGCACCGGCUAACUACGUGCCAGCAGCCGCGGUAAUACGUAGGGUGCGAGCGUUAAUCGGAAUUACUGGGCGUAAAGCGUGCGCAGGCGGUUAUAUAAGACAGAUGUGAAAUCCCCGGGCUCAACCUGGGAACUGCAUUUGUGACUGUAUAGCUAGAGUACGGUAGAGGGGGAUGGAAUUCCGCGUGUAGCAGUGAAAUGCGUAGAUAUGCGGAGGAACACCGAUGGCGAAGGCAAUCCCCUGGACCUGUACUGACGCUCAUGCACGAAAGCGUGGGGAGCAAACAGGAUUAGAUACCCUGGUAGUCCACGCCCUAAACGAUGUCAACUGGUUGUUGGGUCUUCACUGACUCAGUAACGAAGCUAACGCGUGAAGUUGACCGCCUGGGGAGUAACGGCCGCGAAGGUUGAAACUUCAAAGGAAUUGACGG